Olea europaea var. sylvestris is the source of this 493-nucleotide long non-coding RNA. RefSeq lists it as uncharacterized. Lineage: Eukaryota; Viridiplantae; Streptophyta; Magnoliopsida; Lamiales; Oleaceae. The transcript has 3 exons. The record is from RefSeq and is a predicted model, not a curated record.
GUUUAUUUCCAUUUUUCCUUUCUCUUUAUUUUCUUCAAGAGGUAGAUAAAUGUUAUGUUAAAACUCUAGGAUUUUAUUUUGGCUCGAAAUUUUCAAAUUUGUUGAGAUGAAUACUACUUGGAGCUCAAGUUAUUGAUUCUUGAAUUUCUAUCUACAUUAAGGUGGUGACGAGGAAAUUGGAAACGUUUAUCAGGAGACCGUUGAUUUUGAGAUACUUGGAAAAACCUGCUGAAGCGAAAGAGACCUUUCAUAGUAUGUAAUGAAUAGUUGGGGGACUCAUGUUUAUUAAGUACUUUGUCUAAUAUUUGGGGUGUCAUGCACUUUGUAGAAGAGUUUGUAAUUGAUGUAAUGCUUGCAUGUAGACUUGAUGUUGUUGUAGAUGCACUCAGUCGAAUUUUGUUAUAUUUUGUUUUAGUUGUGGUGGUAUUAGUGGAAGUGGUGGUUUCCAAAACUUUUGGUUUGAAUGUCUAUUUGAGGUUUUGAUGAUUUUUCA